GUAUCUCGAACUCUCUCUCCCUUUCAUAUUCUUUCUUUUUACCCAUAAUAAUAAAUAAUAAUAGCCAUGUCUCGUUUUAAGUAUUGUAACUCCCGAUCACCGCUACCCUUUCCGAUCGAUUUGAGUCCCAUAACGCAUGUCAAGGCUCUGCCCGACUAAGUUCGUUUGGAUUCUAUCUCGGGACUUCGGGACAAGGUUGAAUUAGGGGUACUAUACUUAACACAAGUGCAUUAUAUUUUUUUUUAGCUUAAAAGUUAUACCCAAAAUUUAUACCAGGAAUCCUUCUAGUUGAACCCUAAAGUUACACAGUGGGUCCAUUCAUUUUUCUCACCAUUUUAUUCUCUUUUUGUAAGUUACCCAAAACUAUUAUUUAUUAUUUAUUAUUUCUAUUUUGUAAACAAACUUUCAUCAAAAGUCAUGCCUAUUAUUUUAUUUACCCAAUAGGGAACCAUAGUUGAGACACCCAAGUAAUCCUGCACAACUCCUAAAAUUUCCAGAACAAUCAGAAUCAGGAUCAGGGCCCCUAAAACUCAGGGGGGGAUAAACCCUAGCCAACGAUUAUCCUCAUAACUCUGUGUAAAAUUCGAAAUUAACGAAACUGUCAACACAGCAAGCCUAGUUACACACGUAGCUACCCUAUGAACAUAGGUUACCACUCGCGUAGCGCGACACCUAUAGGGGGUACCCCUCGCGCUACGCGACGGUGUCAAAUUUCGGGUAUAAAUAGAGGGGGUUGGGACUUGAAUUCUGUCUUUGGAACGACGUAAAUCCGAGUUACGUAAAUCAAGUUAUCACAGAAACAGUCCAACACACACACACUAAUAUCGAAUUGCUGCCGCGGAACAGGGUAAUUACUCGAUCGCUAUUACGAUUCAGUUUCCGGGAUCAAUAUACCCAAAGAAUGUCCAAGUGCCGCCCACAUUGGGCUAUGCUUUUUCGUUUGUCGGUAAUCCGAUAAAUGAGUUGAAGCAUUGUACUUUGUCGUUGUCGAUAAUUCGAUAAUGAGUUGAAGUACUAUACUUUGUCGUUUGUCAUUUUGAUAAAUGAGUUGAAGUAUUGCACUUGGUCAUUCAUUGCGAGUAUUUGAUCUCGGGAAAUUAUCGUAACUGCUGUAUUGAUCAUUAACCCAGUUUUUGUGAAAUUCGUUAAGAUUCGAAUCUCAUGACUACCGUUAAGGUUGAUUUAGGUUUUUCACCAAUACGUAUUCCAUUCUGUUAAACCACCAAAAAUACUCCCACCUACACCCUUACAAUCAAAUAAACUAUUAAAUCAUCAGAAGAUCCAGAAGAAGAUCCAGAAUAAUAAAGUGCAUGCUUAAAUUAUCGGAAGAAAUAGAAUCAAGAAGUUGUUAACUCAAUCCUGCAUGCUGAUUUGUAAUUACAGUAGAUUGAAGUAAGGAUUGGAUCCGGCACUAAAAGACUUCAAGAAGUGGCUUAUUUUAUUAAUUAAAUCAACUUAAGAAAUAUUGUUUUCAUUAAAAGCUACAUUUGUAAAACUUGGAAUUUAUUCCAUCCAUUUAAAUAAAAUCCGGUGUUUCUAAACUCUGAUAUUUUUCCUAACUCACGGUCCUGAUGAAAUUUCCGCUGCAAUGUUUUUCAAAAUAAUCACCGGUACCACUGGACUGCUCACGGCACCGAUUCCGGCUAGAUGGGGUCGGGGUUCGUGACACUAUAGGUUCAUCUCGAGGUCAACCAAGAUAUUAUCUGCAAGGAAUGAGAAAGUUUGUGAGAGAUAAAGGCAUGGUUUCAGGUCAAGCAUUUACACUUAACUUUGUGAAAGGUAAAAAGUUUUUUAUGUUCGGAUGAAUGUUUGUGGUUUGAAGAAGGCAAAUGCAGAAGCAUACAUUGAACCAAAUUUUCGGGUUGUAGUUGUUUGCUUUUUGAAACUGAUACUAGACUUGUUUGUUUAGUUUUGAAGUUGUGAUUCUAAAACUAUAUAUCUACAUGUAAAUUAUUAGCUCCAUGUCUAACGGAAACAAUGUGGAGAUAUGAACUAAAAACAAUAUACUUUGUUUUACUUUUGGUCAACAUCUGAUUGACUUUUAGUCGUAUUAAUAACAGUAUAAGAUGGUUGAUGUAAUGUGGUCGUAUUAAUAACAAAUAGUAAUUAAUCUAAAUAACUUUCCCGAGCCCGGGAAGCAAUCCUUUCAUCUUAUGCAACCAACCAUGGAGUAACAGGCUGAGGGGGAGUUUAGUCUGUAAGCAUGCUUGUAAUCUUUUGCUUUAAUUUGUAAUCUUUCAACUUAAUGAAAAGCAAAUGUUU
Molecule: long non-coding RNA, 2262 nt
Filed under: Helianthus annuus (common sunflower)
Lineage: Eukaryota; Viridiplantae; Streptophyta; Magnoliopsida; Asterales; Asteraceae
Description: hypothetical non coding rna
Source: RNAcentral